GAGUUUGAUCCUGGCUCAGGACGAACGCUGGCGGCGCGCCUAACACAUGCAAGUCGAACGGAGCUUAAAGAGCUUGCUUUUUAAGCUUAGUGGCGAACGGGUGAGUAACGCGUGAGUAACCUGCCCUGGAGUGGGGGACAACAGUUGGAAACGACUGCUAAUACCGCAUAAGCCCACGGAUUCGCAUGGAUCUGCGGGAAAAGGAUUUAUUCGCUUCAGGAUGGACUCGCGUCCAAUUAGCUAGUUGGUGAGGUAACGGCCCACCAAGGCGACGAUUGGUAGCCGGACUGAGAGGUUGAACGGCCACAUUGGGACUGAGACACGGCCCAGACUCCUACGGGAGGCAGCAGUGGGGAAUAUUGCACAAUGGGGGAAACCCUGAUGCAGCGACGCCGCGUGAAGGAAGAAGUAUCUCGGUAUGUAAACUUCUAUCAGCAGGGAAGAUAGUGACGGUACCUGACUAAGAAGCCCCGGCUAACUACGUGCCAGCAGCCGCGGUAAUUC
RNAcentral lists this ribosomal RNA (504 nucleotides) under uncultured bacterium. RNAcentral describes it as "bacterial SSU rRNA". It matches the Rfam family "Bacterial small subunit ribosomal RNA", at positions 9 to 526 of the family's 1533-position model. The record is from RNAcentral.